Varroa destructor (honeybee mite) is the source of this 1186-nucleotide long non-coding RNA. RefSeq lists it as uncharacterized. Lineage: Eukaryota; Metazoa; Arthropoda; Arachnida; Mesostigmata; Varroidae. The record is from RefSeq and is a predicted model, not a curated record.
AGGGGGUACGCGCCAUCGGGGAAAACAACGAGCUUACAGAAGACAUACACUGAAAGGAUCGAAAGUAUAUGUCCGUUCAUUGUUUUUCGAUCUAUGUCAUGAUAAUGCUGACCCAUCCGAUCGGAAACUGUAUGAGUGCUACGUAUGGUUAAUUAGAAGUGAGACAAAAUUUUCGGAACAUUUUCGUAAAAAAAGCCAUGUCAGACUCGCGUCACGUAUAAUCAUUUUUUAUGUUUAUACGAAUGUAACUAGGAUAAUAAUUUCAUACCAGUUUAGUGUUUAUUUAGUCGUGUUUUUCGCGUACUUCAAUAGUGGCUUUCGUCACGCUACCGUCGUGGAUAUAAGAACGUUGCGAAAUUCAACUUGAAUAUACCGUUACUAUCUGCAGCGCGUGUAUCAACAACAAACCGAUAACGGCAUAAACAUUGUCCUGUAGCGGGCUAGCAGAAACGAAAAACGGUCGAAAACUUUUUCCUAUAGCACUUCAACAAGCACUAUUUUCGCUAGUGAUCGGUUUGACUUUGGUAUUCGAGCCCAGCCCACAUUACAUUUUUGUCAAGAUAUCAUCUAGUGCUACGAGUUUAAUGGGACCCACAAACAGGCCCAAAAUGCGAAUAGCUUGAUGUAAAGCUUGAGGAGAACUAGGAAUACUGCAAAAUACAAAACGGUUAGGUGAACAUAACCUGUCAUCGUUCCACUCGCAACUGUUCGGGGUUUUUGCUGCCAACCCAGAGACGCUGAAAUACCAAUAUGACCCAUAGUUGAGCCAACGGGUCCCGGAGGGCAGGUCAAACCAAUUCAUCAACGUUCUGCAGAAGCUAAAACACCACCAAUAGCGGGAAAGCUGAAACGGUCACAGCACUUCAGUGCAUUAAUGGCUGUCGUCGUGUUAAAAGCCUUGCCGAUAUCCAGGAAACUUAAUUUUCUUCGAAAGAGAAACCUGUUGCUUCUUCGAUAAGCACGUUUCCUAUAAUGCUUACUGACUAACACAUGGACACACCUACGCACUCGAGAUAGCACGAAACACAUGAAUUUUAUAGGACAACGACAACAGCCGAACUAUUUGUCAGGUACGCAUUCUAAACGCCAAUAAAUCAUGUCCUAGUAGGCGGAACAGAAUAUACUGCGAAACAAGAGUACUACAUCUGCCUUUUGUGCCCUACUUAUCGUUUCAUUGAUUUCUGGG